CAAUAGCGUAUAUUAAAGUUGUUGCGGUUAAAAAGCUCGUAGUUGGAUUUCUGUUGAGGACGACCGUUCCGCCCUCUGGGUGAGUAUCUGGUUCGGCCUUGGCAUCUUCUUGGAGAACGUUGCUGCACUUGAUUGUGUGGUGCGGUAUCCAGGACUUUUACUUUGAGGAAAUUAGAGUGUUUCAAGCAGGCACACGCCUUGAAUACAUUAGCAUGGAAUAAUAAGAUAGGACCUCGGUUCUAUUUUGUUGGUUUCUAGAGCUGAGGUAAUGAUUAAUAGGGAUAGUUGGGGGCGAUUCGUAUUUGACUGUCAGAGGUGAAAUUCUUGGAUUUGUUGAAGACGAACCACUGCGAAAGCAUCUGCCAAAGAUGUUCUCAUUGAUCAAGAACGAAAGUUAGGUGAUCGAAGACGAUUAGAUACCACU
RNAcentral lists this ribosomal RNA (424 nucleotides) under uncultured eukaryote. RNAcentral describes it as "SSU rRNA". It matches the Rfam family "Eukaryotic small subunit ribosomal RNA", at positions 592 to 1019 of the family's 1831-position model. The record is from RNAcentral.